RNAcentral lists this ribosomal RNA (640 nucleotides) under uncultured Sebacina. RNAcentral describes it as "eukaryotic LSU rRNA". The stretch from base 227 to 380 matches the Rfam family "5.8S ribosomal RNA". Lineage: Eukaryota; Fungi; Basidiomycota; Agaricomycetes; Sebacinales; Sebacinaceae. The record is from RNAcentral.
AAGUAAAAGUCGUAACAAGGUUUCCGUAGGUGAACCUGCGGAAGGAUCAUUAAUGAUUGCGAAUGGUCGCCCUCGGUGCUGGCUCGUAAGAGCAAGUGCACGUUGGUGGCUUUCAUCCAAUACCCCUGUGAACCUUUGGCCUCUUGCUGGCUCUGGCUGGCAGAGGAUUUUUAUACACACACUCGAAUGUAAUGAAAACUAUUGUCGUGCGCAAGCACUAAUGUACAACUUUCAACAACGGAUCUCUUGGCUCUCGCAUCGAUGAAGAACGCAGCGAAAUGCGAUAAGUAAUGUGAAUUGCAGAAUUCAGUGAAUCAUCGAAUCUUUGAACGCACCUUGCACCCUUUGGCAUUCCGAAGGGUAUGCUCGUUUGAGUGUCAUUGUACUCUCACACUCUCUGAUCCUUUGGGAUUCGGGGAGCGGUGGACUUGGGUGUUUGCUGCUUUCCUUGUGGCUCACCUCAAAUGCGUCAGUGCACCUCUUGGUUGGACAUAGUACGGCGUGAUAAGUGUCUUCGCCGGCACCUCGCAAGAGGGUGGUCAAUUGGGAGCUCUGUGCUUUCAAACCGUCUUCGGACAAUAUCUGACAACUUGACCUCAAAUCGAGUAGGACUACCCGCUGAACUUAAGCAUAUCAAUNA